RNAcentral lists this ribosomal RNA (102 nucleotides) under Pteropus alecto (black flying fox). The record is from RNAcentral. Lineage: Eukaryota; Metazoa; Chordata; Mammalia; Chiroptera; Pteropodidae.
GCCUAUGGCCAUGCCACCCCGAACGUGCCCAAUCUCGUCUGAUCUCGGAAGCUAAACAGGGUCGGGCCUGGUUAGUACUAGGAGUACCAGGUGCUGUAGGCG